AGAUAAGUGCAACACUGCAGAAACCAAAAUGCUGAGCAUCAGCACCAUAGCACUGGGGACAGCUCCCAGAAUCAGAAGUCACGCUGAAUUUAUAACUGUAUUCUCCCACAGUAGACAACACCGUUCCUACUUUUCUAAGAGCAAUAGGAACUGCACAACAGAGUAAAACAAGGCCAAAGGGACAAUGACAGAAAAAUGACUAGCUGUGCAGGUACAUCAUUUCAGGCACCUGGAGCAGCCGAUGGAGAGAGCCCACUGCACAGGCAUUAGUCAGACAUGCCUUUGGAAAUCAACUCACAGCAUCACUUUCUUGUCAAAAUAUAGCUGAGCCUCUCAUUGUCACUCUCUCUAUCUCUCGGGUUUCCUGCCAUCAGCCAG
This is a long non-coding RNA of Mauremys reevesii (Reeves's turtle), 378 nucleotides long. RefSeq lists it as uncharacterized. The record is from RefSeq and is a predicted model, not a curated record. The transcript is spliced from 3 exons. Lineage: Eukaryota; Metazoa; Chordata; Testudines; Geoemydidae.